AUUGAACGCUGGCGGCAGGCCUAACACAUGCAAGUCGAACGGUAACAGGAAGAAGCUUGCUUCUUUGCUGACGAGUGGCGGACGGGUGAGUCAUGUCUGUGAAACUGCCUGAUGGAGGGGGAUAACUACUGGAAACGGUAGCUAAUACCGCAUAACGUCGCAAGACCAAAGAUGAGGACCUUCGGGCCUCUUUCCAUCGGAUGUGCCCAGAUGGGAUUAGCUAGUAGGUGGGGUAACGGCUCACCUAGGCGACGAUCCCUAGCUGGUCUGAGAGGAUGACCAGCCACACUGGAACUGAGACACGGUCCAGACUCCUACGGGAGGCAGCAGUGGGGAAUAUUGCACAAUGGGCGCAAGCCUGAUGCAGCCAUGCCGCGUGUAUGAAGAAGGUCUUCGGGUUGUAAAGUACUUUCAGCGGGGAGGAAGGGAGUAAAGUUAAUACCUUCGCUCAUUGACGUUACCCGCAGAAGAAGCACCGGCUAACUCCGUG
Molecule: ribosomal RNA, 490 nt
Filed under: uncultured bacterium
Lineage: Bacteria
Description: partial 16S ribosomal RNA
Rfam family: Bacterial small subunit ribosomal RNA
Source: RNAcentral